AACGAACGCUGGCGGCAUGCCUAACACAUGCAAGUCGAACGAGACCUUCGGGUCUAGUGGCGCACGGGUGCGUAACGCGUGGGAAUCUGCCCUUGGGUUCGGAAUAACAGUUAGAAAUGACUGCUAAUACCGGAUAAUGUCUUCGGACCAAAGAUUUAUCGCCCAGGGAUGAGCCCGCGUAGGAUUAGCUAGUUGGUGAGGUAAAGGCUCACCCAAGGCGACGAUCCUUAGCUGGUCUGAGAGGAUGAUCAGCCACACUGGGACUGAGACACGGCCCAGACUCCUACGGGAGGCAGCAGUGGGGAAUAUUGGACAAUGGGCGAAAGCCUGAUCCAGCAAUGCCGCGUGAGUGAUG
RNAcentral lists this ribosomal RNA (355 nucleotides) under uncultured bacterium. RNAcentral describes it as "bacterial SSU rRNA". It matches the Rfam family "Bacterial small subunit ribosomal RNA", at positions 29 to 410 of the family's 1533-position model. The record is from RNAcentral.